UGAAGUAAGUAAGGGCGUACGGUGAAUGCCUUGGUGCCAACAGGCGAAGAAGGACGCGGCAAGCUGCGAAAAUCCUCGGGAAGCUGCAAGCAAGCGAUGAUCCGGGGGUAUCCGAAUGGGGUAACCUGAUCGAGGCAAUACUCGAUCGUUCAUACCUGAAUACAUAGGGUAUGAAACGCGAAACCCGCUGAAGUGAAACAUCUCAGUAAGCGGAGGAAAAGAAAGAGAAAUCGAUUCCGUAAGUAGUGGCGAGCGAAAGCGGAUGGAGCCCAAACCGAAGGUACUCCUUCGGGGUUGUAGGACCACGAGAUAUUCGACCAUACUGGAUAGUAGAACAGCCUGGAAAGGCUGGCCGUAGAAGGUGAAAGCCCUGUAGACGAAAUCCAGCGUGGGAAUUAGUGGAAUCCUGAGUAAUACAUCACACGUGGAACGAUGUAUGAAUCAGCGCGGACCACCGCGCAAGGCUAAAUACUAGUUGGCGACCGAUAGUGAACAAGUACCGUGAGGGAAAGGUGAAAAGAACCGCUGUGAGCGGAGUGAAAUAGAACCUGAAACCGUAUGUCUACAAAGUGUCAGAGCAGAGCAAUCUGCGAUGGCGUGCCUUUUGUUUAAUGAGUCUGCGAGUCAGUGUUUGUGGCAAGACUAAGGGCUUCCGGCCCGGAGUCGCAGCGAAAGCAAGUCCGAAUAGGGCGAAUUAAGUCGCAGGUACUGGACCCGAAGCGGAGGUGACCUACCCUUGGCCAGGUUGAAGCAUGGGUAAAACCAUGUGGAGGACCGAACAGGUGAACGUUGAAAAGUUCUCUGAUGAGCUGAGGGUAGGAGUGAAAGGCUAAUCAAACCCCGUGAUAGCUGGUUCUCUUCGAAAUGCAUUUAGGUGCAGCGUCACGUGCUGAUGCGCGGGGGUAGAGCACUGACAAGGCUAGGGGGCACACCCGCUUACCAAACCUUAUCAAACUCCGAAUACCGUGCAAUGGAACGUGGCAGUGAGACAGUGGGGGAUAAGCUUCAUUGUCGAGAGGGAAACAACCCAGACCAGCAGCUAAGGUGCCUAAAUAACGCUCAGUGGAAAGGAUGUGGGAUUACACAGACAGUGAGGAUGUUGGCUUAGAAGCAGCCACCAUUUAAAAAAUGCGUAAUAGCUUACUCAUCGAGUGAUCCUGCGCCGAAAAUGAUUGGCGAUCAAGCGUUAUACCGAAGCUCUGGACUUUACCUUACGGUAGAGUGGUAGAAGAGCGUUGCAUGCGCGUUGAAGGGUGAUGGCGACUGACCCUGGAGCACAUGCAAGUGAGUAUGCAGACAUGAGUAACGUAAAGCCGGGUGAAAUCCCCGGCCGCCGUAAACCCGAGGUUUCCAGGGCAACGUGUUUCGUCCCUGGGUUAGCCGGGACCUAAGCCGAGGCCGAGAGGCGUAGGCGAUGGAUAUCAGGUUAAUAAUCCUGAGCUCGCGACCCUUAAACUGGGGGGACGCAUGAGAAAAGAUGACUAGGUUAUUGAAUUCCGAGUUGAGUCCACGGACUCAGCGCAUCAUUGGAUCGAGUGCCAAGAAAAGCCCCAGCGUAUGCUAAGCGACCCGUACCGCAAACCGACACAGGUGGGUGGGUAGAAUAUACCAAGGCGUAAGAGUGAAACCUGGUUAAGGAACUCGGCAAAUUAGCCCCGUAACUUCGGAAGAAGGGGUGCCUGCAGCGAUGCAGGCCGCAGAGAAAUGGCCCAACCGACUGUUUAUCAAAAACACAGCACUCUGCAAAGACGCAAGUCGAAGUAUAGGGUGUGACACGUGACCAAUGCCGAAAGAUUAAGGCAAGGGGUUAGCCGCAAGGCGAAGCUCUGAACCCAAGUCCCGGUGAAUGUCGGCCGUAACUAUAACGGUCCUAAGGUAGCGAAAUUCCUUGUCGGGUAAGUUCCG
This 1905-nucleotide ribosomal RNA is filed under the name human gut metagenome. RNAcentral describes it as "bacterial LSU rRNA". It matches the Rfam family "Bacterial large subunit ribosomal RNA", at positions 1 to 1985 of the family's 2925-position model. The record is from RNAcentral.